UUGAACGCUGGCGGCAGGCCUAACACAUGCAAGUCGAGCGGGGGUAGCAAUACCCUAGCGGCGAACGGGUGAGGAAUGCUUGGGAAUCUGCCUCGUAGUGGGGGAUAACGUUCCGAAAGGAACGCUAAUACCGCAUACGUCCUACGGGAGAAAGGGGGGGAUCUUCGGACCUCUCGCUAUGAGAUGAGCCCAAGCGGGAUUAGCUAGUUGGUGAGGUAAAGGCUCACCAAGGCGACGAUCCCUAGCUGGUCUGAGAGGAUGAUCAGCCACACUGGAACUGAGACACGGUCCAGACUCCUACGGGAGGCAGCAGUGGGGAAUAUUGGACAAUGGGGGAAACCCUGAUCCAGCCAUGCCGCGUGUGUGAAGAAGGCCUUCGGGUUGUAAAGCACUUUAAGCGAGGAGGAAGGGCUGAGGGUUAAUAACCUUCAGCAUUGACGUUACUCGCAGAAUAAGCACCGGCUAACUCUGU
This 472-nucleotide ribosomal RNA is filed under the name uncultured bacterium. Its description in RNAcentral is "bacterial SSU rRNA". It matches the Rfam family "Bacterial small subunit ribosomal RNA", at positions 30 to 506 of the family's 1533-position model. The record is from RNAcentral.